GACGGAGGAUGCAAGUGUUAUCCGGAAUCACUGGGCGUAAAGCGUCUGUAGGUGGUUUAAAAAGUCCACUGUUAAAGAUUGAAGCUUAACUUCAAAAAUGCCGUGGAAACUUUUAAACUUGAGUAUGAUAGGGGUAGAGGGAAUUUCCAGUGGAGCAGUGAAAUGCGUAGAUAUUGGAAAGACCACCAAUGGCGAAGGCACUCUACUGGGCCAUUACUGACACUGAGAGACGAAAGCUAGGGGAGCAAAUGGG
This 253-nucleotide ribosomal RNA is filed under the name uncultured bacterium. RNAcentral describes it as "partial 16S ribosomal RNA". It matches the Rfam family "Bacterial small subunit ribosomal RNA", at positions 524 to 776 of the family's 1533-position model. The record is from RNAcentral.